UCCAUUCAUGAUAAGAGGGAUGUUUAGGAGAUCGAGCACUUGUGUGAAGUGUUGUCUCAUAAUAUUGGCUAUAGUUUCAACUUUAGCUGUGUGUGGACCUGCUUUGUCUUGGAGAUUUAAGAAGGGUAUUAGUUUAUGUGAUAACAAAUCAUCUUGUCCUCCUUGUAAUUGUGAUUGCUCUCCUCAUCUUUCUUUUCUCAAGAUUGCGCCUGGUAAGUUUUGCUUUCAUGAUUCUGCUUGUGGUUAUUUUCAAGUCAUGAGAUUGAUUGAUUAUAUGCGGAUUAAAGUGAAUUUGUAGAUUACCUAUUUUAAUGAUUUAUUUUUGUUGGUUUGCUUUCAAAUUUUGAUUUUGUUUAAUUGUAUUUGGAUUAUAGUGAAUUUGAUGAGUUCCCAUUUUUGUGGAUAUAGAUCAUUUUUUGCUAUUUGGGUUUGUUGUCAAGUUCUGAUUUUGUUUGGUUAAAUGCUCAUUAGACUAAAAAAAUAGCUUGAGGUUUUGAUUUACAGUUGUUGCUAAUUUUGAAUUCUAAGCUUUGUGUAUAAUGGAAUAGUUAUAGUUAAAUAAUCUCCUAAAUCCAGCUAAUUACAGCUCAAAAAGUACAAAAUUUUAGCCUUCUGUCACUACCCAACAGAUAAAAAAAGUCUUUUUAAAAACAACUAUCUUAAAAAUUUGCCUCCAAAGUUUCCCAUAAAUUCUACCAAAUCUCAAGCUUCUGCAGCAAUCAAAGACAAAUAAAAGUGGAAAAGGUUAUCCCCAGAAACCCUCAAAGACACUUUAACUAAUGUAUAUAUGAUUGAAAAAAAUACCUUAAUGAGUUUUACAGGACAAACGAGACAAUGGCUUGUGUGAAAACCUUAAUAGAGUCAAAAGAACAGGAGAAGGGCCCAAUACUCAAUACCCAUUUACAAAAUUGCUUACAGAAUAGUCAUAGUUAUGACUUUAUUAUUAUCAACAACAUUACCUCACUCAAAAAAAAAUUGCCUAUAAAUUUAAAAAAUAAAAAAUAAAAAAAUGCAUACGACAGUAAAAAGAAUCUUUGUGUGUGAUGGUAAAAUGAAUGGAAUGAAAGAAAGUGCUUCCAGUUCUUGAUUCUAAUUUUCGAACUAGAUUAGUUGUUAAGAUAUAAAGGUUUUGGAAUCUUGAUUGUGAACGCCAAGGUAAGGCAGAUUCAAAUAAGCUGAGAAGAGAACAAUGUACAAGGACAGAGUAGGAGAGAAAAACGGGGGACAGAAAGGAUUUAGUUUUUAGUUAUAAAAACUACCAUCAUCAUCAGGACACAUGUGCUGUAUAUAUACCUAGCUACUGUAACUAUACACCUUUUAAAAUAGAAUUGAUAUAGCCAUAGUUAUGACUUUAUUAUUAUGUAUUGGAAAGUUAUAACACUAUUUUAUUGUUUUUGUUUAUACUAUUACCUGCACAAGUCCAAGUCCCCUUAUUCUGUCACCUGCAAUUUUCAAGUCCCCUUGUUAAUUUGUUACAUAUUGAUUCAAUAUUGCUAUCACUUCGGAAUAUUAUUUUCAUCAUUCGUGUUUAAGAUUUGUAUAAUACCCAGAAGUGUUAAGUGUUCCAAAACACGAUGUAUUAGUGUCAUAAGAAAUUUGUUAAGGGUUCGUACCAGUCAAGGGCAGUUAUGAUUGCUAAAGUAUAUUGCAUAUUGAAUAUCAAGUUGCAAAAGUAGGAGCUGAUUAAAAAUGAGACAUACCUAAAUAAUCAUUGCUUAUUUUAGAACAAAAAAAUAUGUAAUUUUUAUUUUGUAGUGUCCGAGACAGCCUAACAAUUUUGAAUUUCGUUACUACGUCAAAAAAAACAUUGAAGAUAUCGUUACAAAUGUGAACAUUCUUAAAAAUAAUAUAAGUAUCGAAAACAAUUUUUAGAAUACUGUAUCUUAUUGUUUUAAUGCAUUGUGAAAUAAAUCACCUCAAAAGAACCUUGAACCUUAGACCUAAUGUGUGCUUUUUUAUUGCUAUGUUGUUAUCAUAUAUUGUCUGUAUUUUAUAUUCUGUAAGAAAAUGUACUUAUAAUAAUGGGUAUAUUGCACAUUGUUGGAGAGAUUAUGUGAAUAGCCAUAGAGGCACGAAUUAGUAUUUGGUAUAUAGACAAUGUAUUGUGGAUAUAUAUAUAGGGUCAUGAUAUGUCCAAAACAAUUAUAUGAGUUAAUUGUUGUUUUGAUAGUUAAGUAGUUUACAAUUUGAUUUCUAGUGAAUAACUUGUUGUUUUGAAAUUAAAGUUCAAGGAAAGGGCUCUCGCAACUUUGUUAUCAAUGGGUUACAUAUGUUGCCAAGUUGUUACAAUCUAUAAUAGCGAGGUAAUAUAUGAGUAGUUUAUCAUUAUUUUUGCUUCCAAAAAUCGAAGACUUAUUUUUUAUGUCCUAACUGAUUUAAUGUACUUGUAGGUGGGAAAAUAAAAUGAAGCCAUGUAUGGAUAUUCCAUGACAUUCUUUUGCCUAUUCUUGUUGGUUAAUGUUUGUUGAAACUUGAUUCAAUACUCUUUGUUUAAAACUUGUUGAACACUUAAUUUGGCACUUAUUUUUUUCCCCCCAAACACUGGUGUAGCUUGAUUAUGAUAAUUUAAGUGAUAUUUUUGGGAAGUUUAUUAUGUGAAUUGCUGUUGGGAGA
RNAcentral lists this long non-coding RNA (2613 nucleotides) under Citrus maxima (pomelo). RNAcentral describes it as "long non-coding RNA (CMAX_LNC003348)". The record is from RNAcentral. Lineage: Eukaryota; Viridiplantae; Streptophyta; Magnoliopsida; Sapindales; Rutaceae.